This 346-nucleotide ribosomal RNA is filed under the name uncultured bacterium. RNAcentral describes it as "partial 16S ribosomal RNA". It matches the Rfam family "Bacterial small subunit ribosomal RNA", at positions 338 to 681 of the family's 1533-position model. The record is from RNAcentral.
CCUACGGGAGGCAGCAGUGAGGAAUAGUGGUCAAUGGACGGAAGUCUGAACCAGCCAGGCCGCGGGCAGGAUGACGGCGCUAUGAGUUGUAAACUGCUUUUAUAUGGGAAGAAAACAGGGUAUGCAUACCCUCUUGUAUGUACCAUAUGAAUAAGGAUCGGCUAACUCCGUGCCAGCAGCCGCGGUAAUACGGAGGAUCCGAGCGUUAUCCGGAUUUAUUGGGUUUAAAGGGAGCGUAGGUGGCUUGUUAAGUCAGUUGUGUACGUUUGCGGCUCAACCGUAAAAUUGCAGUUGAAACUGGCAGUCUUGCGUACCGUAGAGGUGGGCUGCAUUCGUGGUGUAGCGG